This 385-nucleotide ribosomal RNA is filed under the name Salmonella enterica subsp. enterica serovar Typhi. RNAcentral's name for it is "bacterial SSU rRNA". It matches the Rfam family "Bacterial small subunit ribosomal RNA", at positions 531 to 915 of the family's 1533-position model. The record is from RNAcentral. Lineage: Bacteria; Pseudomonadati; Pseudomonadota; Gammaproteobacteria; Enterobacterales; Enterobacteriaceae.
GGUGCGAGCGUUAAUCGGAAUUACUGGGCGUAAAGCGCAUGCAGGUGGUUUGUUAAGUCAGAUGUGAAAGCCCGGGGCUCAACCUCGGAAUUGCAUUUGAAACUGGCAGACUAGAGUACUGUAGAGGGGGGUAGAAUUUCAGGUGUAGCGGUGAAAUGCGUAGAGAUCUGAAGGAAUACCGGUGGCGAAGGCGGCCCCCUGGACAGAUACUGACACUCAGAUGCGAAAGCGUGGGGAGCAAACAGGAUUAGAUACCCUGGUAGUCCACGCCGUAAACGAUGUCUACUUGGAGGUUGUGGCCUUGAGCCGUGGCUUUCGGAGCUAACGCGUUAAGUAGACCGCCUGGGGAGUACGGUCGCAAGAUUAAAACUCAAAUGAAUUGACG